Molecule: ribosomal RNA, 491 nt
Filed under: uncultured bacterium
Lineage: Bacteria
Description: partial 16S ribosomal RNA
Rfam family: Bacterial small subunit ribosomal RNA
Source: RNAcentral
GUGCACGCUGGCGGUAGGCCUAACACCUGCCAGUCGCACGGCAGCACAGUAAGAGCUUGCUCUUACGGGUGGCGAGUGGCGGACGGGUGAGGGAUACAUCGGAAUCUACUUUUUCGUGGGGGAUAACGUAGGGAAACUUACGCUAAUACCGCAUACGACCUACGGGUGAAAGCAGGGGAUCUUCGGACCUUGCGCGAUUGAAUGAGCCGAUGUCGGAUUAGCUAGUUGGCGGGGUAAAGGCCCACCAAGGCGACGAUCCGUAGCUGGUCUGAGAGGAUGAUCAGCCACACUGGAACUGAGACACGGUCCAGACUCCUACGGGAGGCAGCAGUGGGGAAUAUUGGACAAUGGGCGCAAGCCUGAUCCAGCCAUACCGCGUGGGUGAAGAAGGCCUUCGGGUUGUAAAGCCCUUUUGUUGGGAAAGAAAAGCAGCAGGUUAAUACCCCGCUGUUCUGACGGUACCCAAAGAAUAAGCACCGGCUAACUUCGUG